GUUUUAAUAAUUUAAAUAUAAAAUAUUGGUCUUGUAAAUCAACAAUAAGGUUUCCUUUUAAAACU
Molecule: transfer RNA, 65 nt
Filed under: Melanotus cribricollis
Lineage: Eukaryota; Metazoa; Arthropoda; Insecta; Coleoptera; Elateridae
Description: tRNA-Thr
Rfam family: tRNA
About the family: Transfer RNA (tRNA) molecules are approximately 80 nucleotides in length. Their secondary structure includes four short double-helical elements and three loops (D, anti-codon, and T loops). Further hydrogen bonds mediate the characteristic L-shaped molecular structure. tRNAs have two regions of fundamental functional importance: the anti-codon, which is responsible for specific mRNA codon recognition, and the 3' end, to which the tRNAs corresponding amino acid is attached (by aminoacyl-tRNA synthetases). tRNAs cope with the degeneracy of the genetic code in two manners: having more than one tRNA (with a specific anti-codon) for a particular amino acid; and 'wobble' base-pairing, i.e. permitting non-standard base-pairing at the 3rd anti-codon position.
Source: RNAcentral